Quercus robur (English oak) is the source of this 584-nucleotide long non-coding RNA. RefSeq lists it as uncharacterized. NCBI's taxonomy places the organism in Eukaryota, Viridiplantae, Streptophyta, Magnoliopsida, Fagales, Fagaceae. The transcript is spliced from 2 exons. The record is from RefSeq and is a predicted model, not a curated record.
GGUUCAUUAUACAUGAAGUUUAAAAUAGUGAAGGUGCACCCACCAGCUGCCUGUGGAUUUCCUAGCCUUCUACCCAAGUGAUGGCGAAGUUGUCUUGAUACAAUCUAGCAAUUCCAUUGUCUUGUGCAACAUGCGGAUGUGGGUAUUGAAAAUGGACAGCCAACUAUGAAAUAUGGGGAAAUUUUUAGCUGGUAACUCCUAUUACUGUGGCUGUACCUGCAAAAUCUAUCCUUCCACAUGCCAAACUGCACAUUGAAGUUUCCCUGCAACCCUUAUUUUAUGCUUAUGAUGCACCUCUUUGUUUCUUCAUGUGUUCCUACACUCUAAAAGGUGCCUCCAGCAUUAUUCCUAUUUGACACUGACCAUUGAUGGCAUAAACUCAGCCUGAAAGUCUCCAAGAGUUCAAAUUUACAUUUUAAAUAAGAAUGUCUCAUUGACAUUGUAAUUCUGGAUGCUUUUUUUUUUGGGGUUGUUGUCUUGAUGCUAUCAUCCCAUUUGUAGUGGAUGCUUUCAUAAAGAGUGACUAAAUUUUACGAUGGGUGUCAUCUCAUAACUGUUAUAAAAUUUGUACCCACUUUGUAUUA